RNAcentral lists this unclassified non-coding RNA (714 nucleotides) under Hevea brasiliensis (rubber tree). The record is from RNAcentral. Lineage: Eukaryota; Viridiplantae; Streptophyta; Magnoliopsida; Malpighiales; Euphorbiaceae.
AGUUUAGCCAAACCGAAAUCGCUUAAAUGUGCAACCAUGUCCUCAUCGAGAAGAACAUUAUUGGGCUUCAAGUCACAAUGAAUUAUUGGAAUUUCGCAAAGGUCAUGAACAUAAUGCAACGCAGAUGCCACAUCAAUUGCAAUAUUCAAUCUUUGAAGAAAAUCCAAGUUUCUUGACGGAUAAUUGUUGUGGAUGUCUUGAUACAACCACUUCUCCAAGCUUCCUUUACCCAUGAAUUCAUAAACUAGAGCUUUGAACUCAUUCUGUUUGUAAUCAAUGCUGGAGCAAUACGUAAGCAGCUUAACCAGAUUUCGAUGCCUCACUGUGCGUAACACCUUGCACUCGGCCAUGAAGCUUUUUGAAGCGCCCCUUGUUCCAAGUUUGAGGACCUUAACAGCCACAGCUCUUUCCAUUUGAUUGAGAAAUCCUUUAUACACAGAACCAAAGCUGCCAGAUCCGAUUAAGUUGUCGGCAGAAAAUCCACUUGUUGCAUCAAAAAGAUCCCUAUAAGAUACCUUUACAAGGCGAUCUGUUUCUUUAGGUGUGGCGGAUGAGCUCUUUUUUGAUACUUUCUUUCGAUACAUAAGCAUGAUGGCUAACAUCAACAGCACAAAGAGAAUCACACAAAGAAUUAUGAUUGCUAACUUAAUAGCAAUGGACUUCCCUUUCUUCAUUGCUUUGGUAGGGCAUUUUGGUUGAUGGAGUUCUGGCACA